UACGUAGGGCGCAAGCGUUGUCCGGAUUCACUGGGUGUAAAGGGUGCGUAGGUGGCAUGGUAAGUUUGAUGUGAAAGCUCAGGGCUCAACCCUGAAAUGGCAUUGAAUACUACUGUGCUGGAGGUUUGGAGGGGGGACUGGAAUUCUUGGUGUAGCAGUGAAAUGCGUAGAUAUCAAGAGGAACACCAGUGGCGAAGGCGAGUCCCUGGACAACACCUGACACUGAGGCACGAAAGCUAGGGGAGCAAACAGG
This 253-nucleotide ribosomal RNA is filed under the name uncultured bacterium. Its description in RNAcentral is "partial 16S ribosomal RNA". It matches the Rfam family "Bacterial small subunit ribosomal RNA", at positions 524 to 776 of the family's 1533-position model. The record is from RNAcentral.